GCGUGGGUCGGCCCGCCGUACUGGAAGCGGUGGGCUGGGGGACACCGCCGCCUCAAUCCCCGCGGGUGGCGGACCGGUCCGGGAGGCGGUCAGCGCCUCCCGGGCUGAG
RNAcentral lists this non-coding RNA (109 nucleotides) under Streptomyces sp. CB03234. RNAcentral describes it as "Streptomyces RNA 4115". It matches the Rfam family "Streptomyces RNA 4115". Rfam says of the family: Identified by deep sequencing of transcriptome at the end of exponential growth phase. The record is from Rfam by way of RNAcentral. Lineage: Bacteria; Bacillati; Actinomycetota; Actinomycetes; Kitasatosporales; Streptomycetaceae.